This 497-nucleotide ribosomal RNA is filed under the name uncultured bacterium. Its description in RNAcentral is "partial 16S ribosomal RNA". It matches the Rfam family "Bacterial small subunit ribosomal RNA", at positions 28 to 507 of the family's 1533-position model. The record is from RNAcentral.
GAUGAACGCUGGCGGCGUGCCUAAUACAUGCCAGUCGAGCGAACAGACAAGGAGCUUGCUCCUCUGACGUUAGCGGCGGACGGGUGAGUAACACGUGGAUAACCUACCUAUAAGACUGGGAUAACUUCGGGAAACCGGAGCUAAUACCGGAUAAUAUAUUGAACCGCAUGGUUCAAUAGUGAAAGACGGUUUUGCUGUCACUUAUAGAUGGAUCCGCGCCGCAUUAGCUAGUUGGUAAGGUAACGGCUUACCAAGGCGACGAUGCGUAGCCGACCUGAGAGGGUGAUCGGCCACACUGGAACUGAGACACGGUCCAGACUCCUACGGGAGGCAGCAGUAGGGAAUCUUCCGCAAUGGGCGAAAGCCUGACGGAGCAACGCCGCGUGAGUGAUGAAGGUCUUCGGAUCGUAAAACUCUGUUAUUAGGGAAGAACAAAUGUGUAAGUAACUAUGCACGUCUUGACGGUACCUAAUCAGAAAGCCACGGCUAACUACGUG